AUGCCAUGGUGUGGACACUACCUCCUCAUCUCUUUAAAUCUCUCCCAAGCCUCAGUCAAAGAUUCAGUUUCCAGUUGCUUAAAAUUUUGAAUUGCUCUCCUCAUCAU
Small nucleolar RNA from Ipomoea nil (Japanese morning glory), 107 nucleotides. It matches the Rfam family "Plant small nucleolar RNA R71". Rfam says of the family: R71 is a member of the C/D box family of snoRNAs containing the C (UGAUGA) and D (CUGA) box motifs. Multiple nearly identical copies of this snoRNA have been identified in Arabidopsis, and it is thought to function as a 2'-O-ribose methylation guide for 18S ribosomal RNA. The record is from Rfam. Lineage: Eukaryota; Viridiplantae; Streptophyta; Magnoliopsida; Solanales; Convolvulaceae.